RNAcentral lists this ribosomal RNA (410 nucleotides) under bacterium. RNAcentral's name for it is "partial 16S ribosomal RNA". It matches the Rfam family "Bacterial small subunit ribosomal RNA", at positions 355 to 776 of the family's 1533-position model. The record is from RNAcentral.
UGGGGAAUUUUGCACAAUGGGCGGAAGCCUGAUGCAGCGACGCCGUGUGGGGGAUGAAGGCCUUCGGGUUGUAAACUCCUUUCGUCAGGGACGAAGUUUGUUUGACGGUACCUGGAUAAGAAGCACCGGCUAACUACGUGCCAGCAGCCGCGGUAAUACGUAGGGUGCGAGCGUUGUCCGGAUUUACUGGGCGUAAAGGGCUCGUAGGUGGUGUGUUGCGUCGUCUGUGUAAUCCAGGGGCUUAACUUUUGGGUGGCAGGCGAUACGUGCAUUGCUUGAGUGCUGUAGGGGAGACUGGAAUUCCUGGUGUAGCGGUGAAAUGCGCAGAUAUCAGGAGGAACACCGAUGGCGAAGGCAGGUCUCUGGGCAGUUACUGACGCUGAGGAGCGAGAGCAUGGGUAGCGAACAGG